Molecule: ribosomal RNA, 577 nt
Filed under: uncultured bacterium
Lineage: Bacteria
Description: partial 16S ribosomal RNA
Rfam family: Bacterial small subunit ribosomal RNA
Source: RNAcentral
UGGGGAAUAUUGCACAAUGGGCGCAAGCCUGAUGCAGCCAUGCCGCGUGUGUGAAGAAGGCCUUCGGGUUGUAAAGCACUUUCAGCGAGGAGGAAGGUGGUGAACUUAAUACGUUCAUCAAUUGACGUUACUCGCAGAAGAAGCACCGGCUAACUCCGUGCCAGCAGCCGCGGUAAUACGGAGGGUGCAAGCGUUAAUCGGAAUUACUGGGCGUAAAGCGCACGCAGGCGGUUUGUUAAGUCAGAUGUGAAAUCCCCGGGCUCAACCUGGGAACUGCAUUUGAAACUGGCAAGCUAGAGUCUCGUAGAGGGGGGUAGAAUUCCAGGUGUAGCGGUGAAAUGCGUAGAGAUCUGGAGGAAUACCGGUGGCGAAGGCGGCCCCCUGGACGAAGACUGACGCUCAGGUGCGAAAGCGUGGGGAGCAAACAGGAUUAGAUACCCCUGGUAGGUCCACGCUGUAAACGAUGUCGAUUUUGGAGGUUGUGCCCUUGAGGCGUGGCUUCCGGAGCUAACGCGUUAAAUUCGACCGCCUGGGGAGUACGGCCGCAAGGUUAAAACUCAAAUGAAUUGACGGGGUC